GGCCUCGUCGUCUAAUCUGGUUAGGACGCUAGGUUUUCAUCCUAGAAAUACGGGUUCAAAUCCCGUCGAGGUCGCAA
Molecule: transfer RNA, 77 nt
Filed under: Parcubacteria group bacterium SW_6_46_9
Lineage: Bacteria
Description: tRNA-Glu
Rfam family: tRNA
About the family: Transfer RNA (tRNA) molecules are approximately 80 nucleotides in length. Their secondary structure includes four short double-helical elements and three loops (D, anti-codon, and T loops).
Source: RNAcentral